RNAcentral lists this ribosomal RNA (492 nucleotides) under uncultured bacterium. RNAcentral describes it as "partial 16S ribosomal RNA". It matches the Rfam family "Bacterial small subunit ribosomal RNA", at positions 29 to 507 of the family's 1533-position model. The record is from RNAcentral.
AGUGAACGCUGGCGGUAGGCCUAACACAUGCAAGUCGAACGGCAGCACAGUAAGAGCUUGCUCUUACGGGUGGCGAGUGACGGACGGGUGAGGAAUACAUCGGAAUCUACUUUUUCGUGGGGGAUAACGUAGGGAAACUUACGCUAAUACCGCAUAUGACCUACGGGUGAAUGCAGGGGAUCUUCGGACCUUGCGCGAUUGAAUGAGCCGCUGUCGGAUUAGCUAGUUGGCGGGGUAAAGGCCCACCAAGGCGACGAUCCGUAGCUGGUCUGAGAGGAUGAUCAGCCGCACUGGAACUGAGACACGGUCCAGACUCCUACGGGAGGCAGCAGUGGGGAAUAUUGGACAAUGGGCGCAAGCCUGAUCCAGCCAUACCGCGUGGGUGAAGAAGGCCCUCGGGUUGUAAGGCCCUUUUGUUGGGAACGAAAAGAAGCAGGGUAAUACCCCGCUGUUCUGACGGUACCAACAGAAUAAGCACCGGCUAACUUCGUG